UGCAUGCAAGUCCUUCAAAAACUGCAGCGUUUAAACGAUUUUUCUGUUUGGUUCGUUUCCUUGUAAAAAAAUUUCUUGCCAAUUUCAAAUUUUAAUUUGGAGAGCGGUUUAAAGAUGAAGACACAAAUUGACAACAGCGGUGGAUGCGAAUGUACCUGAAUUGGCAGCACGGAAACACGAGAAGGAGCAGGCGACGGAGCUUCAGCUUCUAUGGAAAGCGAAGGAGAAGGCGCCGGCGAGAGAUACUCAUCAUACGAGCUUCUUGCUCUGAAGCUCCUCAGUCCAAAGAAAAGCUGACUGGCUGAUGCUUGUUUUUCUUCUGUUCAUACUUUAUAGAUUUUGAAAGAGGUACACAAUCACCAACUAGAUCAUCGGCAUUUUAUGGAGAUUAGCUGUUAAUUACAUUAAAGCCACGUCUUGGUUUUAAGAACCGAACUAGACCGUUCGGUUCAAUUGGUUCGACCGAAAAUAAGAAGUAAAUUAAAGUUGAUUCCUCUUUAAAUAUUGUAUUCAACCUAUUCGAAUAAAAAACGGCAAAAUUAUUGAACC
Molecule: long non-coding RNA, 549 nt
Organism: Mercurialis annua (annual mercury)
Lineage: Eukaryota; Viridiplantae; Streptophyta; Magnoliopsida; Malpighiales; Euphorbiaceae
Exons: 4
Source: RefSeq, a predicted model, not a curated record